AUCCAGCCGACGAGUCCCAAAUAGGACGAAACGCGCGUUCUGGAU
RNAcentral lists this non-coding RNA (45 nucleotides) under Schistosoma japonicum. The record is from RNAcentral. RNAcentral also lists the same sequence under 2 other names. Lineage: Eukaryota; Metazoa; Platyhelminthes; Trematoda; Strigeidida; Schistosomatidae.